CCCUUUCAACAGCACCAAGUCUUUCUAUAAGCAGCAAAGUCUCUCACGGCACAUUGCAACUUCAUGGGUUCUCAUCACUGAAGUUGGGGUACCACUCCUCCUGGGGCGGCAGCAGGGGGGUACGGGUACGGGGCGGCAGCAGGGGGGUAUGGGUACGGGUACGGGUACGGGUACGGGGCGGCAGCCGGGGGGUAUGGGUAUGGGUAAGGGUACGGCUGCGGGCAGUUGAUAGCUGUCGGCGGCCAGGCGUACGUCGUGGGCUGGAACCUCGCAUUGCCCAUAGCCCUCUGCUGAUUCAUCAGAGAGGCUUGCUGCUGCUGCUGCUGGUAAGGAUUUCCGGGCAUGGCUUCCGCCCUGGCCCCAGAGAAGGAGCCAUCCGCUCCGCCCACUCUUCCACCGCCGCCCAGCGAGGCAUCUGGGAGGCCUGGGACAGCUGGGAAAUUGCUCAUUUGCCCUGUUGGCAUGCUGCCCAUACGACCCAUUGGAAUCUUCAUACCACCCAUUUGCCC
RNAcentral lists this long non-coding RNA (509 nucleotides) under Eucalyptus grandis. RNAcentral describes it as "long non-coding RNA (EGRA_LNC005110)". The record is from RNAcentral. Lineage: Eukaryota; Viridiplantae; Streptophyta; Magnoliopsida; Myrtales; Myrtaceae.